Piliocolobus tephrosceles (Ugandan red Colobus) is the source of this 1612-nucleotide long non-coding RNA. RefSeq lists it as uncharacterized. The transcript is spliced from 3 exons. The record is from RefSeq and is a predicted model, not a curated record. NCBI's taxonomy places the organism in Eukaryota, Metazoa, Chordata, Mammalia, Primates, Cercopithecidae.
AUCACCUCUUUCUCUCCCACAGGGCUAUGGCAUGGCAUACACUGUCCACAAGUGGUCAGAGCUCAGCUGGGCCAGUCACUGGGUCACUUUUGGAUGCUGGAUCUUCUACCGUCUCAUAGGCUGAGGCACAUCUGUGGACCCUCAUAACCCUCUUAAGACCCCUCUCAGGGUGCCACUGAUGGGGGAUGAGGGAAGGCCCUCUCUCUACUCCCUGACCCCCUCCAUCCUUGACCCCCAACACCUCAAGACACACACACACACACACACACACACAAAUCACACCAUUUCCAUGCCUGUCAAUCCCCACCCCACCACAAGGCGGGAAGGGGGUGGUCCCUGUUGGGGCCUAGGGGUGGGGGAUGCUUGGGGAAACAGAGAGGGGGAGAUCCAGGGCCUCCUCGCCUUCCUUCUUCCUUUUUAUAUACAAUUUGUUAUUGUCAAAUAAAAGUAGGAAAUAUACAGUAGGCUUCUUCUUCACUGCUCAGAGGCGAAUAGGAGUGAGUGAGGAAGGGGACACAGCAUGGAUAAAGGUUUGGAAGCUGGAAACCAUGAGGAGAGAGCAGACUGUGAUUGGUUCAUGGUUAGUUUGUGAUUGUUUGAUUAGAUGAAGAGCCUGAAGAUGGCAGGAUCCUGGUCCUGCUUGGUUUGAUUAGGGCAGGGACAGAUUGCAUAGUUCGAUGUGGGGGAGGCCUGACUGGCUGGAAAACUGAAGGAUCCCCAUUCUGAUUGGUUGCUCUGAGUGGGACACAGAGGAGAGAGAGCAAGAGAGAUGAAGGGGGUUGGUGCCUAUUUGUCCUUAGGACUGAGGGUUGUGGGUUCUAAUUGGAUGGGAGGUCUGGGAUGGGUCUGGAUUCUGAUUGAUUGCUCCAUCUGGGGGCCCACUAGUGGUUAGGCGUUUGAUUGGCUUUUUAGAACUGGCACACGGAGAUUGAGGGUCUUCAUGCCAAUUGGUCAGUAGGACUGAGAGGCCUGGGUUCUGAUUCGUUCUUCUGACUUGAGGUCGGGAGAAGAGAGAAUGACCGCUGCUAUUAGGACUGAGGAGUUCUGAGCACUGAAGAGCUGGGGAGGGGGUGGUUGCAGUGUAUAGCAUGUGAUCUGCCUGUAACAGUUUCUUUGCAUCAUGCUGAGGGUUACUCUACUUAGAAAAGGGCGGAGGUGAAAGGAUGCAACGCAACGCUAAUUUCACCAGCGGAAGAAGAGGAUACACACCUUAAUGAGUCCCUGUUUUGAUCGACUGAUAAGGGAAUGAGGAAAUUGAAGCCAGGACUCGAUGCAGAGUGGUUACGGAUCCAAAACGCCCACUAACCUUGGCCCGCCCCAGUCUCCACCCCAAACCUGACUCAGGCAAGAGAACCCAAGAGGGGAUGAGACCGAACUGGGGAUGUGACAGAGCGCGAGAGCCAGCCUGGAAAGGUCCCGGAGCCUGUGUGGGAGGCCGCUGCCGUCGCGCGGCUGGGUCGUGCUGCGGUUGUCCCACUGGGGACUUGGCGGCGACUGUCCCUGUGCUGGUUUGUAGUGUGUGGGUUCAUUCACCUGGUGAUCGAGGGCUGGUUCAUUCUCUACUACGAGGACCUGCUUGGAGACCAAGCCUUCUUAUCUCAACUCUGUGAGU